RNAcentral lists this ribosomal RNA (495 nucleotides) under uncultured bacterium. RNAcentral describes it as "partial 16S ribosomal RNA". It matches the Rfam family "Bacterial small subunit ribosomal RNA", at positions 28 to 507 of the family's 1533-position model. The record is from RNAcentral.
GACGAACGCUGGCGGCGUGCCUAAUACAUGCAAGUAGAACGCUGAAGGAGGAGCUUGCUUCUCUGGAUGAGUUGCGAACGGGUGAGUAACGCGUAGGUAACCUGCCUGGUAGCGGGGGAUAACUAUUGGAAACGAUAGCUAAUACCGCAUAAUAGUAGAUGUUGCAUGACAUUUGCUUAAAAGGUGCAAUUGCAUCACUACCAGAUGGACCUGCGUUGUAUUAGCUAGUUGGUGGGGUAACGGCUCACCAAGGCGACGAUACAUAGCCGACCUGAGAGGGGGAACGGGCACACUGGGGCUUAGAAAACGCCCAGAACUCCAAGGGAGGCAGCAGUAGGGAAUCCUACGGAAUUGAACGAAAUCCGAACGAGCAACGCCGGGUGAGUGAAGGAGGGUUUCCGAUUGGAAAGGUCUGUUGUAAGAGAAGAACGAGUGUGAGAGUGGAAAGUUCACACUGUGACGGUAUCUUACCAGAAAGGGACGGCUAACUACGUG